This 254-nucleotide ribosomal RNA is filed under the name uncultured bacterium. Its description in RNAcentral is "partial 16S ribosomal RNA". It matches the Rfam family "Bacterial small subunit ribosomal RNA", at positions 79 to 334 of the family's 1533-position model. The record is from RNAcentral.
CUAAGUUUGAUGGCGACCGGCGCACGGGUGAGUAACACGUAUCCAACCUGCCGAUGACUCGGGGAUAGCCUUUCGAAAGAAAGAUUAAUACCCGAUGGCAUAGUUCUUCCGCAUGGUAGAACUAUUAAAGAAUUUCGGUCAUCGAUGGGGGUGCGUUCCAUUAGGUUGUUGGCGGGGUAACGGCCCACCAAGCCUUCGAUGGAUAGGGGUUCUGAGAGGAAGGUCCCCCACAUUGGAACUGAGACACGGUCCAA